Molecule: ribosomal RNA, 462 nt
Filed under: uncultured bacterium
Lineage: Bacteria
Description: bacterial SSU rRNA
Rfam family: Bacterial small subunit ribosomal RNA
Source: RNAcentral
AUCAACGCUGGCGGCGUGCCUAACACAUGCAAGUCGAACGAGAAAGUGGGAGCAAUCCCAUGAGUACAGUGGCGAACGGGUGAGUAACACGUGACUAACCUACCUUCCAGUGGGGGAUAACCUCGGGAAACCGGGGCUAAGACCGCAUAAACUCGCGAGGUGAGAAUCCUAGUGAGCAAAGGGGUAAGACGCUGGUAGAGGGGGUCGCGGCCGAUUAGCUAGUUGGCGGGGUAACGGCCCACCAAGGCGAUGAUCGGUAGCCGGCCUGAGAGGGCGCACGGCCACACUGGAACUGAAACACGGUCCAGACUCCUACGGGAGGCAGCAGUGGGGAAUUUUGCACAAUGGGGGAAACCCUGAUGCAGCAACGCCGCGUGGAGGAUGAAGUCCCUUGGGACGUAAACUCCUUUCGACCGGGACGAUAAUGACGGUACCGGUGGAAGAAGCCCCGGCUAACUCCGU